Rhizobium sp. YS-1r is the source of this 79-nucleotide regulatory RNA element. It matches the Rfam family "Alpha-proteobacteria SAM riboswitch aptamer". From Rfam's summary of the family: This family is a riboswitch found predominantly in alpha-proteobacteria that binds S-adenosyl methionine (SAM). This SAM riboswitch is located upstream of the metA and metC genes in Agrobacterium tumefaciens, and other methionine and SAM biosynthesis genes in other alpha-proteobacteria. Like the other SAM riboswitch, it probably functions to turn off expression of these genes in response to elevated SAM levels. The record is from Rfam. Lineage: Bacteria; Pseudomonadati; Pseudomonadota; Alphaproteobacteria; Hyphomicrobiales; Rhizobiaceae.
GCUUUAUCCCGUGGUGAUUUGGCCGGUCGGCUUGCAGCCACGUUAAAUAAGUGGCUAAAAAGACCGGGUGCCAAACCGG